Molecule: ribosomal RNA, 475 nt
Filed under: uncultured bacterium
Lineage: Bacteria
Description: bacterial SSU rRNA
Rfam family: Bacterial small subunit ribosomal RNA
Source: RNAcentral
GAUGAACGCUAGCGGCAGGCUUAACACAUGCAAGUCGAGGGGUAUAGGGAGCUUGCUUCCUAGAGACCGGCGCACGGGUGCGUAACGCGUAUGCAAUCUACCUUUUGCAGAGGGAUAGCCCAGAGAAAUUUGGAUUAAUACCUCAUAGUAUAGCAGUUUCGCAUGAAACCACUAUUAAAGUCACAACGGCAAAAGAUGAGCAUGCGUCCCAUUAGCUUGUUGGUAAGGUAACGGCUUACCAAGGCAACGAUGGGUAGGGGUCCUGAGAGGGAGAUCCCCCCACACUGGUACUGAGACACGGACCAGACUCCUACGGGAGGCAGCAGUGAGGAAUAUUGGACAAUGGGCGCAAGCCUGAUCCAGCCAUGCCGCGUGCAGGAUGACGGUCCUAUGGAUUGUAAACUGCUUUUGUACAGGAAGAAACACUGGUUCGUGAACCAGCUUGACGGUACUGUAAGAAUAAGGAUCGGCUAAC